RNAcentral lists this ribosomal RNA (249 nucleotides) under uncultured bacterium. Its description in RNAcentral is "partial 16S ribosomal RNA". It matches the Rfam family "Bacterial small subunit ribosomal RNA", at positions 118 to 347 of the family's 1533-position model. The record is from RNAcentral.
UGGGUAACCUGCCUCAAAGAGGGGAAUAGCCUCCCCGAAAAGGGGAGAUUAAUACCGCAUAAUAUGUUUAGGUCGCAUGACUUUAACAUCAAAGGAUUUUCUUUUAAGAAAUUCCACUUUGAGAUGGACCCCGCGGCGCAUUAGCUAGUUGGUGAGGUAACGGCUCACCAAGGCAACGACGCGUAGCCGACCUGAGAGGGUNAUCGGCCACAUUGGAACUGAGACNCGGUCCAGACUCCGUACGGGNGC